RNAcentral lists this ribosomal RNA (210 nucleotides) under uncultured bacterium. Its description in RNAcentral is "partial 16S ribosomal RNA". It matches the Rfam family "Bacterial small subunit ribosomal RNA", at positions 119 to 334 of the family's 1533-position model. The record is from RNAcentral.
GGGUCUGCCCGAUAGAGGGGGAUAACUACUGGAAACGGUGGCUAAUACCGCAUAAUGUCUACGGACCAAAGCAGGGGCUCUUCGGACCUUGCACUAUCGGAUGAACCCAUAUGGGAUUAGCUAGUAGGUGGGGUAAAGGCUCACCUAGGCGACGAUCUCUAGCUGGUCUGAGAGGAUGAUCAGCCACACUGGGACUGAGACACGGCCCAG